UAGCCUAGUAGUUAAGGCUUUGGAUCGCCAACCCGGAGACAGCGGGUUCGAUUCCCGU
Non-coding RNA from Aedes albopictus (Asian tiger mosquito), 58 nucleotides. The record is from Rfam. Lineage: Eukaryota; Metazoa; Arthropoda; Insecta; Diptera; Culicidae.